GGAGAGGUGCGAGAGUGGUUUAAUCGGGCGGUCUCGAAAACCGUUGUUCCCUUUCGGGAACCGUGGGUUCAAAUCCCACCCUCUCCG
RNAcentral lists this transfer RNA (87 nucleotides) under Spirochaetota bacterium. RNAcentral describes it as "Spirochaetes bacterium tRNA-Ser". It matches the Rfam family "tRNA". Rfam says of the family: Transfer RNA (tRNA) molecules are approximately 80 nucleotides in length. Lineage: Bacteria; Pseudomonadati; Spirochaetota. The record is from RNAcentral.